RNAcentral lists this ribosomal RNA (253 nucleotides) under uncultured bacterium. RNAcentral describes it as "partial 16S ribosomal RNA". It matches the Rfam family "Bacterial small subunit ribosomal RNA", at positions 524 to 776 of the family's 1533-position model. The record is from RNAcentral.
UACGUAGGGUGCGAGCGUUGUCCGGAAUUAUUGGGCGUAAAGGGCUCGUAGGCGGUUUGUCGCGUCGGGAGUGAAAACCAGGUGCUUAACACCUGGCUUGCUUUCGAUACGGGCAGACUAGAGGUAUUCAGGGGAGAACGGAAUUCCUGGUGUAGCGGUGAAAUGCGCAGAUAUCAGGAGGAACACCGGUGGCGAAGGCGGUUCUCUGGGAAUGUCCUGACGCUGAGGAGCGAAAGUGUGGGGAGCGAACAGG